GACGAACGCUGGCGGCGUGCUUAACACAUGCAAGUCGAACGGAAAGGCCUGCUUUCCCUUGUGGAUUGCGGGUACUCGAGUGGCGAACGGGUGAGUAACACGUGAGUGAUCUGCCCCCAACUUGGGUAUAAGCCUGGGAAACUGGGUCUAAUUCCCGAUAGGACUGCAGGGUGGUGCCUGUGGUGGAAAACGAUUUUCUAGUGGUUGGGGAUGAGCUCGCGGCCUAUCAGCUUGUUGGUGGGGUAAUGGCCUACCAAGGCGGCGACGGGUAGCCGGCCUGAGAGGGUGGACGGCCACAUUGGGACUGAGAUACGGCCCAGACUCUUACGGGAGGCAGCAGUGGGGAAUAUUGCACAAUGGGCGGAAGCCUGAUGCAGCGACGCCGCGUGGGGGAUGACGGCCUUCGGGUUGUAAACUCCUUUCGACCGCGAGGAAGCCACCUGGUUGGAAGGGUGGUGACGGUAGUGGUAGAAGAAGCACCGGCUAACUACGUG
This 494-nucleotide ribosomal RNA is filed under the name uncultured bacterium. Its description in RNAcentral is "partial 16S ribosomal RNA". It matches the Rfam family "Bacterial small subunit ribosomal RNA", at positions 28 to 507 of the family's 1533-position model. The record is from RNAcentral.